GACGAACGCUGGCGGCGUGCUUAACACAUGCAAGUCGAACGGAAAGGCCUCUUUCGGGGGGUACUCGAGUGGCGAACGGGUGAGUAACACGUGAGUAACCUGCCCUUGACUUUGGGAUAACUUCAGGAAACUGGGGCUAAUACCGGAUAGGAGCUCCUGCUGCAUGGUGGGGGUUGGAAAGUUUCGGCGGUUGGGGAUGGACUCGCGGCUUAUCCGCUUGUUGGUGGGGUAGUGGCUUACCAAGGCUUUGACGGGUAGCCGGCCUGAGAGGGUGACCGGCCACAUUGGGACUGAGAUACGGCCCCGACUCCGACGGGAGGCAGCAGUGGGGAAUAUUGCACAAUGGGUGGAAGCCUGAUGCAGCAACGCCGUGUGCGGGAUGACGGCCUUCGGGUUGUAAACCGCUUUCGCUCAUGACGAAGCUUUGUGUGACGGUAGUGGGUAAAGAAGCACCGGCUAACUACGUG
This 467-nucleotide ribosomal RNA is filed under the name uncultured bacterium. RNAcentral's name for it is "partial 16S ribosomal RNA". It matches the Rfam family "Bacterial small subunit ribosomal RNA", at positions 28 to 507 of the family's 1533-position model. The record is from RNAcentral.